This 610-nucleotide long non-coding RNA is filed under the name Monodelphis domestica (gray short-tailed opossum). Its description in RNAcentral is "lncRNA (ENSMODG00000048048.1)". The record is from RNAcentral. Lineage: Eukaryota; Metazoa; Chordata; Mammalia; Didelphimorphia; Didelphidae.
AGCAACUCUCCAAAAGAUACAUACCAGGCAAGAUCUGCAUUGUUAUCCCUGCUGAAACAGAUGAGGAGGCUUAAGGACUGAGAACACAGGUGACUAAGUAACAAGGAAUAAGAGCUAAAUUGUAACAAGCCCUAAUGCUUUGGGCUUCCUUUAUCUUUGGACACCUUGGAUCAAGCUCAUCAUCUUCCCUCCCACAAGUUAUCACAACUUUUCUCCUUUGAGGUCUCUUGGAAACAGAGAGCAGCCCACUCACAUUCACAGAGCACUGAUUUCCUACAAGUCAGUGCCUGAACUGCAUACCAAACCACAAUCAAUAGGAAAAGAUCUCUCCCUCUUGGACUAAGCCAGUAUUUAAGAGCCUGGCUAAGCAUCCUAUUCCUGCUAAUACAGGAGGAUUCAGCAUCUGCUGUUACAUUAAUUGAAAGGCAGUGUUCCAGUUGAGACUCGGAAAAGGUUUUUCCCUCAUCAAAGGCAAAGAAUGUGGACCAGAUGGCUUUAAAUGAAUAGACUUCAUCAAUAGCUGUAUCACCAAUAUUAUUAUCAACAACGAUAAUAAUAACAGUAAGUAAUUCUACUGCAUAAAAUAAAGGGGCACAAAAAUAAAUAGUCA